RNAcentral lists this unclassified non-coding RNA (151 nucleotides) under Sibbaldianthe adpressa. RNAcentral's name for it is "partial external transcribed spacer". Lineage: Eukaryota; Viridiplantae; Streptophyta; Magnoliopsida; Rosales; Rosaceae. The record is from RNAcentral.
AUGUCUCGGAUACGGUAUAUUCGGUGGGCUUGGGUUCGCACCCUCUAUGCCCAAAAUUCCAAGCGUUUUGUCGCUAGACAUGCACGACUGCCUUGCCCCUUGCGGCAUCUCCGCAAGGUGCCUGGCGUCGGCAAAGGAAUGCUACCUGGUU